CAGCAACUUUGUAAAGUUUGAUGACAAACCUGUCGAGUUACUUGCGAAACUAUGAAGGUUGGGAAUAGAGGAAAACAGUGGGAAGAAGGUGACCCUGAAGAAUUAACGCUGCUAUUGAGACGGAUCUAACAACGCAGUCUGGGCUCCGUGCCAAAGGCUGGUAUUUCACAGCAGCGACCGCCUUACAGAUGAGCUGUGGGAAGCAGGAGGGAGACUCUCUUAGGGUGCCACUACUAUGGAGACACAGCUGGGCUGAACAAGAUUUGCUUCAAACGACAACAAGAGAGACAGAAAGUGUCUGGUUCGACCGCUGCCCAAGCAGGCAGUAACCAGAAGAGCUAGCAGCCAAUCCGGCCAUGCUGCACUGUUCGAAACCAGCUCUACAUCCCAGCCAAUCAGUGACAUCACUGGCCUGGAAAGUAACAUUUUCUGUAGAUGUCAGCUUCUGUCUGGUGUGAUGCCCUAUUCUUCUGCUGAAGCCACAUGCAGCACUGAGUAGUACUGGCAAAUAGAAGAGGUCUUUUGGAAUAAGGUGUAUAGCCAUCAUUCCGUUUCACAACUGGACCAUGUUUGCGGCUUCACAAACUGCAGAGCAAGAGAAGCCAACUUUAGGAGCAUGCAUAUUGUGAUAUCCUCAGUGGUUUCUUUUACAACGUAUUCUGCUCAGGCCAGUGAAGUUUGUUUAGCUGACCCGUGAAAGAAAAAAAUUAAGAUGAAAAAGGAAACCGAAGAAGUUAAUUAUACCAGAUUUCAGCGAAGCUGAACGGCUUCCCGAAGAGCACUGAGUUUUCUAUGCCAGAUUCUGCUCCAGUGGCUAGGACCUUUAUGGCUGCUGUUUCUUUUGCUCUGGGCUCUGAUGGAGGAAAAAAAAAAAAAAAAAAAAAACAAAAAACCAACCACGGUGGAUCCUGUCCCUAAAGUAGAAAUUUUCUUUUUCAUUCUGCAAACAAGGCUAAAGAUCGGAGGAGAAUGAAUGCGAAAGUAAUUCGGGAUUGUGGUCGUGCCAUUAAAAGUGUUCGGCUUCAGAAUGAAAUUAUUCGGGAAAUCUGAGUAUUUCUUCUUACUGUAUCGACAGUAUUUGAAAGUUAUGUGUGCUUUGAGUAAUCUGGUUCAAGUGACAACAAUCUCUGCAUGUCAAUGUUUUCUACAGCUUAUGGAGCGAAAGCUACUUUUGCCAUUGGAAAGGAAGAAGCUUUUGCUAGCAGCCUGUAGAAGGAUUAAAUGUUGAACGUGGGGAAGAGGCAAAAAGUGAAUACACGCCCAAAGGUUAUCCUUGCAUCGUGAAUGGGUUUAAAGUACUCUGUAACCCAGGGCCCACCUGAACAGUAGGACUAAAAGUAUAAUGGGGAAAUAUUUCAAUUAGAAACCCCUUAACAAGCAUUUAAUCCUUCUUUCAGGCAUUAAGGGAAAUAGAAUAAAAUUGUUACUGUACAAAUCUGCUGGAAGCAGAUUUUAACCCAUUUUUAGACACUUCCCUGUGAUGCUUUAAAAUAUGGCUACUUGUGAGAGGAGGCAGUGAAGAUUUUUUUUUCCUGUGUUCUUUGUUUUUUCUUUUCAAAAGUUAAGGACUAUGCUCUGAGAAAAGUCUGUUCAGUCAGCUGAUACAUUGUUUGAAUGUAUGUAUGCAUCUUGUCUGCUUAUUUGAUCUUUUCUGCCCCCUACUUGAAACUGUGGUUUGUUUAUUGGGGGGAAGGAGGGGUUGUUGAUUUGGGGGGGAUGUUGGGUUUUGGGUUUGUUUUGGUUUUGUUUUUUGUUUUUGUUUUUUUUUAACAAUAGCAGUGAAAGUUUUACUGACAGCGAUUAUGACUACUAAGCAAUUGAGUUUAUUGGAAGACGAAUUCUACUGGAUCAUAUCGGACUUUUCCUAGUCCCUGAGACCCUAACUUGUGAGGUUUUUUAGCAACAAUCACAAGUCAGGCUCUUGGGACCUAGGCGGAGGGGAACCAGCAGCUUUGGACUGUGAUUGUUUCUCUGCAGAAUUUAGAAAAUCAAAGGAGCUUUACUUGUCUGGAAGGGAAAAAAGAAAAAUAUACCUUUUUCAAAUGUUAAGAAGCAGAGCUGUUGCUAGAAGAAAAAAAACCCUGUUAUCCUUUGUGCAACAUUAGGAUGUUACAUACUUGUCUGUUUAGAAAACUGGACUAGAUGCCAUGUAACAUUCAGAAUUAAAAUUUAACCUGAAUGCCAGUUAGCACCUCAAAACAAAAACAAAAACAAAAAACAAAACAACCCCAACUCAGAACAAAUACUAAAAUAUACAAACGGCUGUCAACCAUAUUAUUAUUAUUAUUAUUAUUAUUAUUAUUGGCAAUUCUGACAUAAUUACCACAAAGUAUAUUUUCAGCUGUAUUGUUACAGCAUUAAUUAACUUUUCAAACAUGAUGCAUAAACACCAAUGUUUGAGGCCUAGAAAACAUUAAGUCUAUUGUUGUUUGAAUAAUGAUUUCAGUCUAGAGGAAAACUGUUGCUUAGCUUUUCCUGUAACAUGGGACAAAGAUUAUUUUGUAGUUAGUUGCCAUCAUUUUUCUUUGUCUAAGUGAGAACACAAUAUGGCAUUUAAAAUAUUUUCUCAUUUAAUUUACAUCUUAAUCUGACAGAGGAUAUUGGUGUGAAAAUCAUACUACAGCAUUAAGAUCGUUUUGCAUACAGAAUCACAUUUCUUGUACCUGUUCAAUUUAAACUGAGCCAGCAAUACUCUAAGCACCGGACUCAGCUUUUAGCCUCUCUAUCUCUUUUUGCUUUUUCACCCUCUGACAAAAAACAGAGUGAGGUUUACAUUGUCCCUCAUGUGUUAAGUACUUCACUGACUUUGCAUGAGAAGAUUCACAAGCACACAAGUUAUUCUGCACUGUUCAUUAGUCUUGAACUUCUGAUCCACAACACACAAUUUGUAUUUCUUAAUAUUUUAUGGGUAGGUUAGUUCUGAGUAAUUUUCCUCUGUUUCCUGUGUCUAACCCAACAUACUGCAGGACCUUGUUGAUACAUCAGACUUCACUGAAACAAAGGCUUCACACAGAUCAGGCAUUUAAACUAUUUGUUCAUUUCAGAAGUGGUAUUUUGGCUGCAGUAUAUUUUUUCCACUUGUGUGGGAGGAAUUGUGUUUUAUUGUAAGCAUCGACACUAUUGUUAAAAUAAAUUGUUCUUAUCUGUUAGUAUAA
Molecule: long non-coding RNA, 3155 nt
Organism: Falco peregrinus (peregrine falcon)
Lineage: Eukaryota; Metazoa; Chordata; Aves; Falconiformes; Falconidae
Exons: 8
Source: RefSeq, a predicted model, not a curated record